CACAACCAGAAGAAAAUCCCACCCAUUUACUCCUCAUUAUGAAUUUUCAGUUCCUGUUGACAAGAGAGGAUAGCUGAGCACCGACUAGUAGAAAUCCAAGCCUCGUGUAAGUGGAGAAAACAAUACAGGGAUGGCCAAAAUUCCCAAAUCUGCCUCAGCACAGAAUGUCACCUUGGAAACUGGUCUAGACUUGGGAAACAUAUCUAGAACACACGAUGACAUCUCAGCUAGCCACGUCAGGGACUACAGGUGGCUGGCCAUUGGCAGCAUAAUCUGUGGAAUCUCCUGCAUUGGCAUCAGUGCUCUGAUUAACUCCGUCAAGGUGCAGGAAAGGAGAGAAUCAGACCCGGAAAAGGCCCAAGUAUACUCUGAUAAUGCCAGAAAACUCAGCCUCAUUGCUAUUGCAGUGUGGGUAGGACUCAUCAUUCUCAUCCCAAUGCUGAUGGCAUUGCUAUCAUAUCUCUUCACCCUACAAGACUAACCAAGUGUUUCUCAAUCCUGGUCUCUGGGGGAACACUGCACUGUAUUUUCAGCUGAGCUCUCAAUUAGUUUAGUUUUAGUUAGAGUUUUUAUACUUUGAAUACUUGAAUUGAAUACUUAACUACUGACUGCCUGCUGUGAUAUACUGUUGCAAUUUGCUCAAACAAGAGGAUACGAGUAUAGUUAUCUUUGGAUUAGAACACUGAAAUUUCACUUCAUGAAGAGACAGGGGAUAAAUGAGCCCAUUGGUAAUUACAGUAAUAAUGAACAGCUACCUCAAGGGGCAGAUAUUGACAAAUGUUUGACCGUUUCAUAUUUCAGUAAAAAUUCCAUUAACAUUUCUUUCAAAAAUAUUUCAGUACAAUGUUAAUCGUAGAGAUGUUAAAUAUUUCAGUACAAUGUUAAUCAUAGAGAUGUUAAAUAUUUCAGUACAAUGUUGACUUAACAGUUCAGUCAGACCUAAAGCUCACUACACAGACCAUCCAUGCCCCAUUGAUCAGGGAUGUGGGAUGCUCUCCAUUCUGAUCCAGCGGAGGACUUACCGAACCACAGUAAUUAUAGAUCCACUUACAGCCACAGCCGCAUUCCAAGUUUAUCAUCAUCAUUGGGCCAAAAUAUUAAGAAGGAAGCUAUUUCUGCGACUGAUUCAUUUGUCCCAUAACUGUAAAGAAUCACCUACAAGUAAUUUCAUUUAAUAAGAAAUGGAUUGCAUGUAACACUUGUUUCUCUGGUUUAUCAGAGUAGACCUUGAAUUGUCUAAAUUCAUUGCAACACGUGUUUGUGUACAUAUAGAUGAAUAUAUAAACAGAAAAAUUCUCUCUAUUUUGGUAUCAGGAUUUCUUAGGAUUAGGGAUUCUUUAUUUGUUAUAGUUACUUUUCUCCUGCACACCCCAGUAGAUGAAAAGCACUGUAGAGCUGCUUUCAUUACAUUACAUUUACAUUACAUUCAUUUGGCAGACGCUUUUAUCCAAAGCGAUGU
Anguilla rostrata (American eel) is the source of this 1459-nucleotide long non-coding RNA. RefSeq lists it as uncharacterized. The transcript is spliced from 3 exons. The record is from RefSeq and is a predicted model, not a curated record. NCBI's taxonomy places the organism in Eukaryota, Metazoa, Chordata, Actinopteri, Anguilliformes, Anguillidae.